AACGAACGCUGGCGGCAUGCCUAACACAUGCCAGUCGAACGAGACCUUCGGGUCUAGUGGCGCACGGGUGCGUAACGCGUGGGAACCUGCCCUUAGGUUCGGAAUAACUCCCCGAAAGGGGUGCUAAUACCGGAUAAUUUCUUCGGACCAAAGAUUUAUCGCCUUUGGAUGGGCCCGCGUUGGAUUAGCUAGUUGGUAGGGUAAAAGCCUACCAAGGCGACGAUCCAUAGCUGGUCUGAGAGGAUGAUCAGCCACACUGGGACUGAGACACGGCCCAGACUCCUACGGGAGGCAGCAGUGGGGAAUAUUGGACAAUGGGCGAAAGCCUGAUCCAGCAAUGCCGCGUGAGUGAUGAAGGCCUUAGGGUUGUAAAGCUCUUUUAACCGGGAUGAUAAUGACAGUACCGGGAGAAUAAGCCCCGGCUAACUCCGUG
This 433-nucleotide ribosomal RNA is filed under the name uncultured bacterium. Its description in RNAcentral is "partial 16S ribosomal RNA". It matches the Rfam family "Bacterial small subunit ribosomal RNA", at positions 29 to 507 of the family's 1533-position model. The record is from RNAcentral.